Molecule: unclassified non-coding RNA, 353 nt
Filed under: soil metagenome
Description: partial contains 5.8S ribosomal RNA, internal transcribed spacer 2, and large subunit ribosomal RNA
Rfam family: 5.8S ribosomal RNA (bases 1-120)
Source: RNAcentral
GAUGAAGAACGUAGCGAAAUGCGAUAAGUAAUGUGAAUUGCAGAAUUCAGUGAAUCAUCGAAUCUUUGAACGCACAUUGCGCCCGCCAGUAUUCUGGCGGGCAUGCCUGUUCGAGCGUCAUUACAACCCUCAGGCCCCCGGGCCUGGCGUUGGGGAUCGGCGGAAGCCCCCUGCGGGCACAACGCCGUCCCCCAAAUACAGUGGCGGUCCCGCCGCAGCUUCCAUUGCGUAGUAGCUAACACCUCGCAACUGGAGAGCGGCGCGGCCACGCCGUAAGACACCCAACUUCUGAAUGUUGACCUCGAAUCAGGUAGGAAUACCCGCUGAACUUAAGCAUAUCAAUAAGCGGAGGA